GAGCCUGAUCCAGCCAUGCCGCGUGUGUGAAGAAGGCCUUAUGGUUGUAAAGCACUUUAAGCGAGGAGGAGGCUACUUUAGUUAAUACCUAGAGAUAGUGAACGUUACUCGCAGAAUAAGCACCGGCUAACUCUGUGCCAGCAGCCGCGGUUUACAGAGGGUGCGAGCGUUAAUCGAAUUUACUGGGCGUAAAGCGUGCGUAGGCGGCUUAUUAAGUCGGAUGUGAAAUCCCCGAGCUUAACUUGGGAAUUGCAUUCGAUACUGGUGAGCUAAAGUAUGGGAGAGGAUGGUAGAAUUCCGGGUGUAGCGGUGAAAUGCGUAGAGAUCUGGAGGAAUACCGAUGGCGAAGGCAGCCAUCUGGCCUAAUACUGACGCUGAGGUACGAAAGCAUGGGGAGCAAACAGGAUUAGAUACCCUGGUAGUCCAUGCCGUACACGAUGUCUACUAGCCGUUGGGGCCUUUGAGGCUUUAGUGGCGCACCUAACGCGAUAAAGUAGACCGCCUGGGGAGUACGGCCGCAAGACUAAAACUCAAAUGAAUUGACGGGGGCCCGCACAAGCGGGGGGAGAAUGUGGUUUAAUUCGAUGCAGCGCGAAAAACCUUACCUGGCCUUGACAUACUAGAAACUUUCCAGAGAUGGAUUGGGGCCUUCGGAAAAUCUAAGAUACAGGUGCUGCAUGGUCUUCGUCAAGAGAA
This 696-nucleotide ribosomal RNA is filed under the name Acinetobacter baumannii. Its description in RNAcentral is "bacterial SSU rRNA". It matches the Rfam family "Bacterial small subunit ribosomal RNA", at positions 379 to 1063 of the family's 1533-position model. Lineage: Bacteria; Pseudomonadati; Pseudomonadota; Gammaproteobacteria; Moraxellales; Moraxellaceae. The record is from RNAcentral.